AAACUUUAUCCACUGGUCUCUUUUUAGAAAUACCCGCCGCGGAAGGACAUGGUCAGAGCCGUCUCCAUCCAAACAGGCUACCUGAUCCAGGGGAAAGGAGCCAAGAACUGCAGCCUCACCUACCUAGCUCAGGUAGACCCCAAAGGUUCUUUGCCAAAGUGGGUGGUGAAUAAAUCUUCUCAGUUCCUGGC
Molecule: non-coding RNA, 191 nt
Organism: Notechis scutatus (mainland tiger snake)
Lineage: Eukaryota; Metazoa; Chordata; Lepidosauria; Squamata; Elapidae
Source: RefSeq, a predicted model, not a curated record